CCUCUCCUCACCCGAACACACUUCCUUCUUCCCUCUCUCGAUCUCCCCGACCGCUCUUGCUAUCUCUCUCUUGCGGGUGACUCAACGCCAAGGCCGGAGGAGGCUCGCCACCGGAGCUCGACGGAUACCAGCGGGCUCCAGGUCAUCUUCGGCUGAGGGGUUUCUGCUUCGACAGAUUUUAUGACCAAUCGUCGACGAUCGGUGACUAGGGCGCGGCGGGAAGGAGUUGAUUCGCAUCAUCACCGGCUGAUCGAGCCCUUUCCGGUUCUUCUCUUUGAUUUGUCCACUGGAGAAUGGUAUGGAUGGCCACCAGCUGAGGUUGAUCGCGCAAGAUCAUUGGGAAGUGAUCGAUUUAGAGGGAUGCACCAAAUCAGCAUAUGGAUGAAUUUUCCUUGAAGCCGAUCAUUGCAUUCCGUUUAUUGCGGCUGAUUGAGUCUCGGUUGGGGGAUUAUGGAUCAGUUGAGGUAAGGUCCUAUUGUGUUAAUGUUUCAGUAAUUAAUUUCUGUACAAUUAGGUUCUGGAUCGAGUUUUUGGAAGAAUUGGUGGAGGGGUUCUGUUGUAGCUUCUGGACAGUGGUUGGCUAGUUGUUCGCUACGGGAUUUGCUGCCAUCUCUCAAGGACCUUGUUUCGAGAUGAGCGUCUCGACGUGGGAUUGGUUUAUCUGACACGAUCGACAGAUAAAGGCAGGUAUUUC
Zingiber officinale is the source of this 694-nucleotide long non-coding RNA. RefSeq lists it as uncharacterized. The record is from RefSeq and is a predicted model, not a curated record. The transcript is spliced from 3 exons. NCBI's taxonomy places the organism in Eukaryota, Viridiplantae, Streptophyta, Magnoliopsida, Zingiberales, Zingiberaceae.